AUACCGGAUAGUGCAUCGAUUGCUGGAAUGCAUGAUGUACGAAAGCUGAGGCGCCCAAGGAUAGGUCUGUGGCCGAUUAGGUUGUUGUUGAUGUAACGGAUCAACAAGCCUACGAUCGGUACGGGUUGUGAGAGCAAUAGCCCGGAGAUGGGUUCUGAGAGAAGAACCCAGGUCCUACGGGACGCAUCAGGCGCGAAAACUUUACAAUGUGCGAAAGCACGAUAAGGGAACUCUGAGUGCCUCCUAAGGAGGCUGUUCAGAUGUUUAAAAAGCAUCUGGAGGAAGGGCUGGGCAAGACCGGUGCCAGCCGCCGCGGUAACACCGGCAGCCCAAGUGGUAGUCAUGCUUACUGGGUCUAAAGCGUCCGUAGCCGGCUAGGUAAGUUCCUUGGGAAAUUUGAUCGCUUAACGAUCAAGCUACCUGGGAAUACUACUUGGCUUGGGACCGGGAGAGGUCAGAGGUACUUCAAGGGUAGGGGUGAAAUCCGUUAAUCCUUGGGGGACCACCAGUAGCGAAGGCGUCUGAUCAGACCGGAUCCGACGGUGAGGGACGAAGGCUAGGGGAGCGAAGCGGAUUAGAUACCCGCGUAGUCCUAGCUGUAAACGAUGCGGGCU
RNAcentral lists this ribosomal RNA (614 nucleotides) under uncultured archaeon. RNAcentral describes it as "bacterial SSU rRNA". It matches the Rfam family "Archaeal small subunit ribosomal RNA", at positions 149 to 768 of the family's 1478-position model. The record is from RNAcentral.